Molecule: ribosomal RNA, 357 nt
Filed under: uncultured bacterium
Lineage: Bacteria
Description: bacterial SSU rRNA
Rfam family: Bacterial small subunit ribosomal RNA
Source: RNAcentral
AGAGUUUGAUCAUGGCUCAGGAUGAACGCUAGCUACAGGCUUAACACAUGCAAGUCGAGGGGAAACGACAUCGAAAGCUUGCUUUUGAUGGGCGUCGACCGGCGCACGGGUGAGUAACGCGUAUCCAACCUGCCCACCACUUGGGGAUAACCUUGCGAAAGUAAGACUAAUACCCAAUGACGUCUCUAGAAGACAUCUGAAAGAGAUUAAAGAUUUAUCGGUGAUGGAUGGGGAUGCGUCUGAUUAGCUUGUUGGCGGGGUAACGGCCACCGAAGGCGACGAUCAGGUAGGGGUUCUGAGAGGAACGGUCCCCCANACGUUGGAACUGAGACACGGUCCAAACUCCGACGGGAGGCA